Molecule: long non-coding RNA, 233 nt
Filed under: Carica papaya (papaya)
Lineage: Eukaryota; Viridiplantae; Streptophyta; Magnoliopsida; Brassicales; Caricaceae
Description: long non-coding RNA (CPAP_LNC008983)
Source: RNAcentral
AAUAAAGAAAAUCAAAUAAAUCAUGAAAUACUCAUAUUUUCAUGUCAUGUUUCGCGAAGUCGUUCCGACUUUCAUCUCUGAGGAUAGAUACAGAUUUCCGACUACUCAUGUGGAAUAACCAGAUCAGAUACAGAUAACGGCAAUUUGCUUAGGCACAUGUUUAGCUUGCCAAACCAUAGUGGUCCUAUUAGAUAUUCUAUAGUCACGACAGUACUUACCCAAAGGUGAUCCCU